RNAcentral lists this ribosomal RNA (964 nucleotides) under uncultured bacterium. RNAcentral's name for it is "bacterial SSU rRNA". It matches the Rfam family "Bacterial small subunit ribosomal RNA", at positions 325 to 1387 of the family's 1533-position model. The record is from RNAcentral.
CAUAUCGGUAUAUCCUACGGGAGGCAGCAGUGGGGAAUAUUGGACAAUGGGGGAAACCCCGAUCCAGCCAUGCCGCGUGAGUGAUGAAGGCCUUAGGGUUGUAAAGCUCUUUUACCAGGGAAGAUAAUGACGGUACCUGGAGAAUAAGCACCGGCUAACUUCGUGCCAGCAGCCGCGGUAAUACGAAGGGUGCUAGCGUUGUUCGGAAUUACUGGGCGUAAAGCGCGCGUAGGCGGCUUAUCAAGUCAGGGGUGAAAUCCCGGGGCUCAACCCCGGAAUUGCCCUUGAAACUGAUAAGCUAGAGUGUCGGAGGGGAUAGCGGAAUUCCUAAUGUAGAGGUGAAAUUCGUAGAUAUUAGGAGGAACACCGGUGGCGAAGGCGGCUAUCUGGACGACAACUGACGCUGAGGCGCGAAAGCGUGGGGAUCAAACAGGAUUAAGCAUCCGCCUGGGAGUCCACGUGCAACGAUAAAACUCAAAGAAAUUGACGGGGACCCGCACAAGCGGUGGAACAUGUGGUUUAAUUCGAGGCAACGCGAAGAACCUUACCAGGAUUUGACAUGCCUCUCGCGGACUCCCGAAAAGGAGUCCUUCGGUUCGGCCGGAGAGGACACAGGUGCUGCAUGGCUGUCGUCAGCUCGUGUCGUGAGAUGUUGGGUUAAGUCCCGCAACGAGCGCAACCCUCGUUCUCUGUUGCUAACAGGUUAGGCUGAGCACUCUGAGAAAACUGCCGGUGAUAAGCCGGAGGAAGGUGGGGAUGACGUCAAGUCCUCAUGGCCCUUACAUCCUGGGCUACACACGUGUUACAAUGGUGGUGACAAUGAGUCGCGAUCCCGCAAGGGCUAGCUAAUCUCAAAAAGCCACCUCAGUUUGGAUUGUACUCUGCAACUCGAGUACAUGAAAUUGGAAUCGCUAGUAAUACGCGGAUCAGAACGCCGCGGUGAAUACGUUCCCAGGCCUGUACA